Molecule: ribosomal RNA, 787 nt
Filed under: uncultured Bacteroidota bacterium
Lineage: Bacteria; Pseudomonadati; Bacteroidota
Description: bacterial SSU rRNA
Rfam family: Bacterial small subunit ribosomal RNA
Source: RNAcentral
ACGCUAGCGGCAGGCCUAAUACAUGCAAGUCGAACGAUCGUUUUUGGUUUACUAAAAACGGAGUGGCGCACGGGUGCGUAACACGUAUGCAACCUACCUUUAUCUGGGGAAUAGCCUUUCGAAAGGAAGAUUAAUACCGCAUAACAUUAUUGAAUGGCAUCAUUUAAUAAUCAAAGUUCAGGCGGAUAAAGAUGGGCAUGCGGAACAUUAGCUAGUUGGUGAGGUAACUGCUCACCAAGGCUACGAUGUUUAGGGGGUCUGAGAGGAUGAUCCCCCACACUGGUACUGAGACACGGACCAGACUCCUACGGGAGGCAGCAGUAGGGAAUAUUGGGCAAUGGAGGAAACUCUGACCCAGCCAUGCCGCGUGAAGGACGAAGGCCCUAUGGGUCGUAAACUUCUUUUAUAAGGGAAGAAAAAGCGUUACGUGUAACGCUCUGACAUUACCUUACGAAUAAGGAUCGGCUAACUCCGUGCCAGCAGCCGCGGUAAUACGGAGGAUCCAAGCGUUGUCCGGAUUUAUUGGGUUUAAAGGGUGCGCAGGCGGACUUUUAAGUCAGUGGUGAAAGCCGACAGCUCAACUGUCGAACUGCCAUUGAAACUGAAAGUCUUGAAUGCGGUCGAGGUAAAUGGAAUGUGUCAUGUAGCGGUGAAAUGCUUAGAUAUGAUACAGAACACCUAUUGCGAAGGCAGUUUACUAGACCGAUAUUGACGCUCAGGCACGAAAGCGUGGGGAGCGAACAGGAUUAGAUACCCUGGUAGUCCACGCCCUAAACGUUGAUCACUC